UACGGAGGGUGCAAGCGUUGUCCGGAUUUAUUGGGUUUAAAGGGUGCGUAGGCGGCCUGUUAAGUCAGUGGUGAAAUCCUGCAGCUCAACUGUAGAAUUGCCAUUGAUACUGACGGGCUUGAAUUCAGGCGAGGUAGGCGGAAUUGACGGUGUAGCGGUGAAAUGCAUAGAUAUCGUCAAGAACCCCGAUUGCGAAGGCAGCUUACUAGACUGACAUUGACGCUGAGGCACGAAAGUGUGGGGAUCAAACAGG
Molecule: ribosomal RNA, 253 nt
Filed under: uncultured prokaryote
Description: partial 16S ribosomal RNA
Rfam family: Bacterial small subunit ribosomal RNA
Source: RNAcentral